This 201-nucleotide non-coding RNA is filed under the name Bacteroides sp. Lineage: Bacteria; Pseudomonadati; Bacteroidota; Bacteroidia; Bacteroidales; Bacteroidaceae. The record is from RNAcentral.
UACCUUUGUGCCCGAAUUGGUUUCGGAAGCUCUUUCGAGUUUCCGGAUUAAAAGGGAAUCGGGUGCAAAUCCAGAACAGUCCCGCUGCUGUGAAGCUCCGCUUGAAUUUUCUGAGAUAAUACCCCAUACCACUGAACAAAUCGGGAAGGUGUUCGGAAAAAAGGAGUCAGUCAGAAGACCUGCCAUUCAUUAAAAUGCUGC